RNAcentral lists this ribosomal RNA (497 nucleotides) under uncultured bacterium. RNAcentral describes it as "partial 16S ribosomal RNA". It matches the Rfam family "Bacterial small subunit ribosomal RNA", at positions 28 to 507 of the family's 1533-position model. The record is from RNAcentral.
GAUGAACGCUGGCGGCGUGCCUAAUACAUGCAAGUCGAGCGAACAGACGAGGAGCUUGCUCCUCUGACGUUAGCGGCGGACGGGUGAGUAACACGUGGAUAACCUACCUAUAAGACUGGGAUAACUUCGGGAAACCGGAGCUAAUACCGGAUGAUAUAUUGAACCGCAUGGUUCAAAAGUGAAAGACGGUCUUGCUGUCACUUAUAGAUGGAUCCGCGCUGCAUUAGCUAGUUGGUAAGGUAACGGCUUACCAAGGCAACGAUGCGUAGCCGACCUGAGAGGGUGAUCGGCCACACUGGAACUGAGACACGGUCCAGACUCCUACGGGAGGCAGCAGUAGGGAAUCUUCCGCAAUGGGCGAAAGCUUGACGGAGCAACGCCGCGUGAGUGAUGAAGGUCUUCGGAUCGUAAAACUCUGUUAUUAGGGAAGAACAUAUGUGUAAGUAACUAUGCACGUCUUGACGGUACCUAAUCAGAAAGCCACGGCUAACUACGUG